Molecule: RNA transcript, 3544 nt
Organism: Amphiprion ocellaris (clown anemonefish)
Lineage: Eukaryota; Metazoa; Chordata; Actinopteri; Pomacentridae
Gene: hm13
Gene name: histocompatibility (minor) 13
Exons: 13
Source: RefSeq, a predicted model, not a curated record
CUCCCACCGGGGCCCUCUCUGCGCUUUAGCUAACGUGGCCUUAAGCCCCGCGGUGGAUGAAUGACCGACGCCGCCGCCGCUGCUGCUGCUCGUCCCGCCGUUCCGUCUGCAUCCCUAAGCCGCUCUGAAGCAACAUGUCUGAGGCUGAGCAGGUCCCGGCCUCGGCCCCGGACGCCGCCGUCCUGGACGCCCUGAACGGCACCGACUCUAACGGCACCGAGGCGCUGAACGCCACCGCUAAGUUCGUGGCGACCCCGGAGGGCACGGCGCUGGCGUACGGCAGCCUGGUGCUCAUGGCCCUGCUGCCCAUCUUCUUCGGGGCUCUGCGCUCCGUCAGCUGCUCAAAGUCCAAGGAGCUCGGAGAAAAUGGUUCCGAUUCUGGGUUCAGAAAUGCAGCUGAUAUGCCAGAAACCAUCACCAGUCGGGAUGCAGCCCGGUUCCCCAUCAUCGCCAGCUGUACUCUGUUUGGACUCUACCUGUUCUUCAAGGUGUUUUCUCAGGAGUACAUCAACCUGCUGCUGUCCGUCUACUUCUUUGUUCUGGGAGUUCUGGCUCUGUCUCACACUAUGAGUCCUCUGAUGUCCAGAAUCUUUCCAGCUUCUUGUCCCAACAAACAGUACCAGCUGCUGUUCACUCAGGGCUCUGGAGAGUCCAAAGAAGAAAUCGUCAACUAUGAGUUUGACACCAAGAACCUGGUGUGUCUGGUGAUCAGCAGCGUGGUCGGGGUCUGGUACCUGCUGAAGAAGCACUGGAUCGCCAACAACCUGUUCGGUCUGGCCUUUGCCCUGAACGGAGUGGAGCUGCUGCACCUCAACAACGUCAGUACCGGCUGCAUCCUGCUGGGGGGGCUGUUUGUCUACGACGUCUUCUGGGUGUUUGGGACCAACGUCAUGGUAACGGUUGCCAAAUCAUUCGAAGCACCAAUCAAAUUGGUGUUUCCUCAGGACUUGUUGGAGAAAGGGCUUGAAGCCAGUAACUUCGCCAUGUUGGGACUCGGAGACAUCGUUAUUCCAGGAAUCUUCAUCGCUCUGCUGCUGCGCUUUGACGUCAGCCUAAAGAAGAACAGCAGGACGUACUUCUACUCCAGUUUUCUGGCCUACAUCUUCGGCCUGGGCCUCACCAUCUUCGUCAUGCACACCUUCAAACAUGCACAGCCGGCUCUGCUCUACCUGGUUCCGGCCUGCGUUGGGUUCCCCGUCAUCGUAGCUCUGUUCAAAGGAGAACUCACAGAGAUGUUCAGUUAUGAAUCUUCAGAUGAACUCCUUCCUGGUUCUCCCAGACUCACUUCCUUUCCCACCAUCAGCGGUUCUCCUGCCAGCCUGGCGAGCUCUAUGGAUGCCAUCUCCAUGGCGACAGGCUCCUCCCCUCGCCGUCGUCGGGUACAGCCCACCUCUAUGUAGAAGCCCCGCCCCCUUCUGUCUUUACUGCCCCCUUCCUAUCUCACCUGGGCAGGUACGAGGAGGCUUCACCUGAGGAGGCGGGAUCUAAAGAUGAGUCAUCAGAAUCAGAGAAAAAGGACCAAUAGGAUCCAUCGCUGCCCCCCUCUGCCCCCCUCCAUCCUCCAUCACUUUCAUCCAACCAGCUGCCGCCAUAUUUCACUGAAGCCCCGCCCCCUCCGCCUGUCCAGCUUCCUGUUCGGGGCCCCGGGGCUCGUGUUGCCAACGCGUUUGUGUCUGAUCGCCGGGGAACGGCUGCUGGUGUCCACGGCAACGGCUGCUGCCUGUCGGCGGUGGCGUCCGGAGGUUGGGCGUCCGCUCGCAUCAUUGCCAUUGCAUCACGUGUUUGCAGCUCGCCGCCUCUGAUUGGCCAGCAACUGUCUGCAGGAGCGUCGGUGAAGCGGUGCCGCUCACGUUUGAUUUCCUGCUUCGUCUUCAGAAGAACCCGAAGUUCUUCUUCUCUGCUUCUGCUGCUUCACGUCUACGUCCUUCCUGCCAGCGGCCACAACGUCAACACGGAAGUCUUCACAUCUAAAGCUGCCCCAGAGAAACAACAGACCCCAGAAACUUGGUUCCUCCUGAAUGUAAACCUCUGAAAACACGUUUUUACUGAACAGCUGCUCACUAACAGGAGGACUAUUUCCAGCGGCGGAUGAAUCCACAUUCAGAGCCGUAGCGAGUCUCAGAGGUUCAGUAAAAAUAAAAACCUUCAAAACAAAUCAUCUUUAAAGCCAAAGAUGAAAAUAAAACGUUUCUUCAGUUUAAAAUCAUUCUAGGAAGCUCACAAAUUAAAGUCAAAGUUUGUGAAACUGACAGAAAAAGGUCAAAAGUUUGAUUCAUGGUGAAAAAGUAAAAACUACUUUAUCAAGAAUCAGUUAAAAAUCUGAAUAUUCCAGGCGUUGAUCCUAAAACUGAUCGUCAGCAUUGAGAAUAAAACCAGAUUUCAUCCAGUUUGAUCCUUUAAAGGAGCCUGAAGCUGAUCCUCCUGUUUCUGAUCCGCUGCUCAGAGUUUUAUCUUUUUUAUCUUUUAUCUUCUUCUUCUCAUGAAGCCUCGUUUGUCUGAAAAUUAAAUCAUAGAUCCUCUGGAGGCGCUUCGAUUCAUUUCAUGGAUCUAAAACAGGUUCCAAUCUUGAAGUUGUGGCCGAAGGGAGGCGACUGAACGCUUCACUUAAGUCCUCUCAUUCUCACACCUGAUUGGUCGAUGGGCUGCGAGGGGUGGAGCCCCACAGCUUCCUCAUCCAAUCAGCUGCAAAAAUGAGCCCAGGAGGCGGAACAUUUGAGGGUUUUCACAGAAACGUCCUCAGACCUGAACUCUGUUCAUAUCAGUAACUUUAAUCUCUCUGCUGACCGAACAUCUGAGCAGCUUUGGUCCAUUUAGGACGAAUUAAGGAGGAUUUUUUUUUAACAUUCCCUGAUCAGUAAACUCUGUUUUCACGUCUUUUCAUUGAUAAAGCUUUAAAUCGAUGACGGAUCCGGUCAUCAGAUCAGACAACAAAUCUGAAAAGUGGCCAGGCUUCCCGCUAAAAGUCAGAAUUUUGGUGUUAAAGUUGGUUCAGCAUCUACAGACUAAACUAGAGAAACCAAGAGCUGCUGCUGGAGACUACAUUUCCCAUGAUGCAGCGUGAGUUAUUACAGCCUCCUUAAGUAAACUGAUCCAUACUGUUAAUAAAACCGACAGCUUCUGCCUUUUACAGUCGCCUUAUUUCACUGAUUAUGAGAAUUUAGUUUGCAGAGAAGUCCUGAUUUCACCAGAAGAUGUUUGCGAUGUUUCUCCUGAAGUGGAACCAUCUCAGCUGAGAUGUUUCAGGUUUGAGGACGCCAGAGGAACCUCCAGCCUCGUUACUAUUCUCUGUUGUUGAUGUGGAUGCUUUAUUAAGAGACGCACAGUUUUGUAUUUUGAUGUAAAAUAAAACAGUUCAUGAUCUUGUUCAGCUCGGUGAAGUUCAGCAGCUCCUCCUCAUUUCAAAUUUGAUGUAUCUGAAACAUUUUUCUGUUUCUCUUCUUCUCUGGUUGUAUUUGUGCAGGACGUCGUUUCACGGCUCUGACUGUAUCUUAUUUUAUUUGCAAUAAACUUUUUGGUGUUUUGAUCACCGUAUAGAGAAGCAAAA